This is a long non-coding RNA of Hyaena hyaena (striped hyena), 306 nucleotides long. RefSeq lists it as uncharacterized. The transcript is spliced from 4 exons. The record is from RefSeq and is a predicted model, not a curated record. Lineage: Eukaryota; Metazoa; Chordata; Mammalia; Carnivora; Hyaenidae.
UGGAGAAAGGGCUGUAGCCCUGGACCAGCUGGUGGAGGAGUAGACAGUGAGCAUCAGACCUUUUUGGGGAUGAACAGUCAAAGGGCAACAAAGUACAGGGAAGAAUCUAGAAGUGGAUGUCUGUUUCCCAGGGCAUCAGAAAAUCAGCACUCCUGGGCUUGGAGAAGCCAAGCUCCCAAUCAAGGUGGCCUCUGGCCCUGGAAGGAUCCCACUGAGCCAGUCUAAAGAGCAUCCUCCUUGCUGAAGGGCCUCCCAGAUGACAAUGGCUGCUUAACUGAUACCUCUCUUCAGAUAUGCCGUCAAGCU